This is a small nucleolar RNA of Cyprinus carpio (common carp), 217 nucleotides long. Lineage: Eukaryota; Metazoa; Chordata; Actinopteri; Cypriniformes; Cyprinidae. The record is from Ensembl.
AAGACUAUACUUUCAGGGAUCAUUUCUAUAGUUCUUAACUAGGAAAUGUGUUUCAAAAGUGUUGCGUCUCCUAAACCACGAUGAUGAGUUUUGGUACUCUUUUCUGAGCGUGAAUCGGAUAUAGAGUAAUGAUUUAUUUCAUAAACUUUACAUCAUUGAUGAACGUUCCUUACUACGUUUUUGCAGUUUGGAAGAAAAGAGUAUGAUCAGAGUGGUU